GGGUGCGGCUGGGCAGCUGGUGUGUCCCCUGGUCUUCAAAACCAGUGUGAGGCGUGUGGAACGUCUUGGGUGGGUUCGAUUCCCACACGUAUCC
Molecule: transfer RNA, 94 nt
Filed under: Firmicutes bacterium CAG:212
Lineage: Bacteria; Bacillati; Bacillota
Also listed under: 1 other name
Description: transfer RNA-SeC(p)(TCA)
Rfam family: Selenocysteine transfer RNA
Source: RNAcentral